This 497-nucleotide ribosomal RNA is filed under the name Serrata tuii. RNAcentral describes it as "partial 16S ribosomal RNA". It matches the Rfam family "Bacterial large subunit ribosomal RNA", at positions 1845 to 2598 of the family's 2925-position model. Lineage: Eukaryota; Metazoa; Mollusca; Gastropoda; Neogastropoda; Marginellidae. The record is from RNAcentral.
AUUGAGAAUCUGACCUGCCCGGUGUUUAUAUUAACGGCUGCGGUAAUUUGACUGUGCAAAGGUAGCAUAAUCAUUUGCCUUAUAAUUGGAGGCUGGAAUGAAGGGUUUGACAAGAAUGUUAUUGUCUCUAUUUUGAUUUUUAGAAUUUUACUUUUAGGUGAAGAUGCCUAAAUUUUAUUGAUAGACAAGAAGACCCUAUCGAGCUUAAGAUUAUGUUUAAAAUUUAAGGUUUAGUUUUAUUUUAUAUAAUUUUGUUUAUUAUUAGUUUUUGGUUGGGGCGACUGGAGAACAUUAGAAGCUUCUCUUUAUAUGUGGUUUGAUAUUGUUUUGAUCCAAGUUUUGUAUUGAUUAGAAGAAUAAGUUACCGUAGGGAUAACAGCACUGUCUUUUUAGAGAGUUCAUAUUGAAAAAAGGGUUUGUGACCUCGAUGUUGGAUCAGAAUUUCCUAAAGAUGUAGAAGUCUUUAAGGGUUGGUCUGUUCGACCAUUAAAAUUCUA